UGAGGAUGUCGACGCAAAUGCUGCCGUUCGAGUUGAUGUUCAGAUGUGAGUACUCUAAAAGCUUAAACUAUUAGAGAAUGGUGUUUAAACAUUUUUAUACUCUCGAGACUUUUUAAUCGGCCCAUGACAUGGACUUGAAUUAAAUGUGAGGAAAUUAAUAUGCUAGGAGCCCGGCGUGAUUCGAACUCAGGACCUCCUUUUCUGAUACCAUGUGAAACAACUAUUGUAUUCUAAAAAUUUAAGCUGUUAGAGAACGGUGUUUAAAUUUUUUUAUAUUUAACAGGAUGGUACACCUAACAUGAUUUAGUGCAUAACCAUAUUACUACUACAUUGACGGCCGGAGCCUGAGAUAUCCGCCUUUUGCCGCAAGCGAUGGGAGAGCUCCAGAGUGUGGGUGCAGGGAUGGGAACAGGCAUGCAUGAAUUUAUCUAAUUAUAAAAAAUUCCACCUCAUCAUAAUUCAAAAUAAUUUUAUAUUUGUCUGAUAUAUAAAAUACUUUAUGUUAUAUUUGAAUAUGUAUUUUAGAAUUUUAUAUUUAAUGUACUAUAUUUUAAAAUAUCGUAUAGAGAAAUAAUUAUUUCGGACUCGUAUUCGGAUUUUGAAUUUUUGGUCGGAUUUGAAUUCGGUUAUGAAUUCUGUAUUUGGUAGUCGGAUUUUAAUUCGGAUUUUUAAAAACCCGGCCCAGAAUUUGAUAUGUCGAAAUUCCUAGUUGGGUGUGGGAAUUUAAUUGUGUGUAGGAGUUUUCUAGUUAAGUUCAUAGUUAGUUAAUUCGGAUUCGGCAAAACUUUGGUACCGAUAUAACACGUAUAAAAUUCGUUUUCUAAUUUAUAAAUUCUUUGAAAAAAUUGGCUUAAAAAACGGAUUCGUUAUAAAGCAUAAAAUAUAAGAUAUAAAAUAUAGGAUAAUUUAUAUUUAAAAAUAAAAAUUAUAAGUUUUUUAUUCAUAUUUUUAAUAAUUCGGAAAUAAUUCGCGAAUAAUUCGGCUAGCCCAAAAAUUCGCGAAUAAUUCUCUUUCUUUGGAAAAAAUUCGUAAACGGACUGUUUAAUUCGGAUUUUCAAUAAUUCGCGAAUAAUUUGCGAAUCUACUAAACAGUAAACUAGGAAGUUUAUUUCUUUUUGUAUAUCG
This 1125-nucleotide long non-coding RNA is filed under the name Ananas comosus (pineapple). RNAcentral describes it as "long non-coding RNA (ACOM_LNC027744)". Lineage: Eukaryota; Viridiplantae; Streptophyta; Magnoliopsida; Poales; Bromeliaceae. The record is from RNAcentral.